RNAcentral lists this ribosomal RNA (410 nucleotides) under uncultured microorganism. RNAcentral describes it as "bacterial SSU rRNA". It matches the Rfam family "Bacterial small subunit ribosomal RNA", at positions 509 to 917 of the family's 1533-position model. The record is from RNAcentral.
CAGCCGCCGCGGUAAUACGGAGGGCGCGAGCGUUGUCCGGAUUCACUGGGCGUAAAGCGGGUGUAGGCGGUCGGGUAAGUCGGACGUGAAAGCCCGGGGCUCAACCCCGGAAGGGCGUCCGAAACUGCUCGACUUGAGGGCGGGAGAGGGAGGUGGAAUUCCCGGUGUAGCAGUGAAAUGCGUAGAGAUCGGGAGGAACACCAGUGGCGAAGGCGGCUGCCUGGGGAGUCACUGACGCUGAGGCGCGAAAGCUAGGGGAGCAAACAGGAUUAGAUACCCUGGUAGUCCUAGCCGUAAACGAUGAGCGCUAUGUGUGAGGGGUAUCGACCCCCCUCGUGCAGUAGCUAACGCAUUAAGCGCUCCGCCUGGGGAGUACGGCCGCAAGGUUGAAACUUAAAGGAAUUGGCGGG